Molecule: ribosomal RNA, 253 nt
Filed under: uncultured bacterium
Lineage: Bacteria
Description: partial 16S ribosomal RNA
Rfam family: Bacterial small subunit ribosomal RNA
Source: RNAcentral
GACGAACCGUGCGAACGUUGUUCGGAAUCACUGGGCUUAAAGGGCGCGUAGGCGGGCCGUCAAGUCAGGAGUGAAAUCCCCCGGCUCAACCGGGGAACGGCUUUUGAUACUGGCGGCCUCGAGGGGGGUAGGGGCAUGCGGAACUUCCGGUGGAGCGGUGAAAUGCGUAGAUAUCGGAAGGAACGCCCGCGGCGAAAGCGCGGUCCUGGACGCCUGCUGACGCUGAGACGCGAAAGCCAGGGGAGCGAACAGG